GAGGAGGUGGUCUAGCGGUUAGAACGCUGGCCUUGUAAUCCUGGGGUCUCGGGUUCGAUUCCCGGCGGUCCCC
This is a non-coding RNA of Zootermopsis nevadensis, 73 nucleotides long. NCBI's taxonomy places the organism in Eukaryota, Metazoa, Arthropoda, Insecta, Blattodea, Termopsidae. The record is from Rfam.